Drosophila pseudoobscura is the source of this 1093-nucleotide long non-coding RNA. RefSeq lists it as uncharacterized. The record is from RefSeq and is a predicted model, not a curated record. NCBI's taxonomy places the organism in Eukaryota, Metazoa, Arthropoda, Insecta, Diptera, Drosophilidae. The transcript has 2 exons.
ACCGCGUGCGAAAUCGAAUCAAUAAUUUAAUGCAGGUGAUGCCUCCGGCUCCUUUUCCCUUUUCAGACAUCAGCCCACAGGCACGACAACCCUGGUCAGCUACUGCUUUUGUCAUUUUUUCAUUCUGUCGUUUUGGCCAUUGCCAAGUUAACGCCAUGUUGACACUGACACUGACUCUAACGUACGUAAUAAUGUCUCAACCAUCUCAGCCAUCGACUUGGCUUGUUUCACGCUUAUUAAAGUCCAAUGGGGAGGCGGGGGAGUAUGGGUCACUUUUCUCGAUUUUUAUUUGUAUUGUGGCUUAAUCUGAAUGAAAAGUUUUUCCAUUCGCGCGGCUUGAGACGACUACCCAACGAUAUAUUACACUCGUAUGUGUAUCGUACAAAGUGGGAUAAUGGAAAGCGAAUCUUGGAAAGAUAUACUCGUAUGAAUAUAUGGAAAGUGCAUCUUCAUAAUUGAGAGAUAGAAUCUAUUGCGAUAUAUUAUAUAUACAAAUGUUAUAUAUAUAAAACGAGGGGGAAGGUUGUGAAUUGCUGCUGCGACCGCAACUCUACAUUUAUACCCGAUAUAUAGUCAAUAUGGCUUUCCUCCGGCAGACGACGCUGACAUUGAAUGACAAAGAGACCGUGAGGGAGAGACAGAAAAACAGUUAGAAAGUGUCGUCGCUAGAAAGUGCAUUGCCACAUCAAUUUUAUUUGUUCCUUUUGGGUAUAAUAUUAAUCCGAUCUGAUCCACAUGCGGAAUUCUGCUAGAUAUAUUCAUUCUCCAUGAUUUUGCUUUCUUAAUGGGGCGGAAGAAGGCGUGGCAAAACUGGAUCAGUGUGAUAUCACAGAAGUCUCUGAGAACUAGGCGUCAAAGAAAACUGAAAAUGCAGAAUCAUGAAAAUGAAUACAUCUACAAUAAUGCUGAAUAUUGAUCAGAUCAGAUUUACCUACGCUCUCUUCUGUACAACACAUACUCCUCCUCAUAUAGUGUGCGCGCUCUGUAUGCACAUGUCGGAGGGGAGCGAGGUAGAACGGCUGGUGUUGAUGUGAAAAUAGAGAUAAAGAGACAGAAGUAAAAAGCACUAUAUCGGGUAUAAAUGCUCACAACA